Long non-coding RNA from Dromaius novaehollandiae (emu), 9448 nucleotides. RefSeq lists it as uncharacterized. The transcript has 2 exons. NCBI's taxonomy places the organism in Eukaryota, Metazoa, Chordata, Aves, Casuariiformes, Dromaiidae. The record is from RefSeq and is a predicted model, not a curated record.
GCCCCGGCCGCCCCCGGGCCGCGGGAGGGCUGGGGGCCGCCGGGCGGAGCCGGCCCGGCCGGAGGCGCCGCCUCACCGCGCUGGGGCGCGCAGCUCUAGUUCCCCCCCCCCGCCGUGAGGCUCGCCUGUGUUUUCCUGAUUCUCCUUCUUCCUCCGCAGUGCUGCUCUGAUUUAGCUCUUUCUCCAUCUUUCCUGCCUUCCCGAUCCGGCAGGGAGCUGCCUUUUCCCUAGCGGAGGUGGCAAGGGAGCAGCCGCUGCGGAGGGCAGGGCUGGCGGCCCGCCGUGGGGCAGGGGGUGCUCCGGGGGCUCGCACCCCUCGCAGUUAGGUGCUGGCGGCGUUUCCUGGCCCCGCUCCCAUAAUAUAUGUUCUUAGGCCGCAGUGGGAGUCACUGGCCGGUUUCUUAGGGUCUGGUUUAAGAGGAAGUGGGUAGGGACUUGUAACGACUCUGUGCUCCCCUCAAAAACGGGCUCAGGUACGGGAUCGCAGGCUUCAUGGGAACUAAACAGGACUUCUGUUGUUCUGUGAGGUAAAAAGUCAGAAUCUUGCAGUUUGAUAAAGAAGUGACAGAUAAAGGCCCUGAAGGAGUGACAAAUAAAUGAUCGGUAUUCUCUUUUCCGUAAGUUCAGUAUUUCAUGCUCUUUAAGAGGACUGGUUAUGUGUUGUUGCAAUUUGGUAGACAAGAAUAUGUGCUUUAAUAUGUAUUGUAAAACUUGGAUUUUAUUCAGAUUUUUAGAUGAAAAGAUUUGUAGGAAACUACUGUAUUCUAUGGCACCAUUCAGUUACAUCUCUUCCAUAUAUAUAUGUAUGUAUAUAUUCACGCACACUUGGAUUGGACGAUGCCUCCCCCUCCUUUACAUUUCAGCUCAUAACACUACUGAAGGAAUUCCAAGCAUGCCAUUAGUGUAUAAAGUUUGGACUCAGAAUUGCUUUGUCUAACUACUGAAAUAUCCUUGUCUUUAUCCGAUGUAUGCCAAAAAGAAUAUUUGCAAAUACAUUUGAAAGUAUCACUACAUGAUUAGUUAGAAACAGCUUGUGUUUCUCUAGUGGGAGAGUCGAGAAAUAUCAAGUGUCCCAAAAACAAUGCUGUAGGAUUUACCCUCCAGCAAAUUCACCUAUUAAGUGCAUUUUCUAGAAAUGCAUUUAUGGAGAGGUGUACCAUUACUCAAUUUAAAACGUAUUGUUUGGGUAGUAUGCCCUCUGCCCGUCAGUCUCCCUACAUACAGUUUUGGGGUUUUGUUUUUGAAGUUUUCAGUCUGCUGUUUAAUGUACUUAGGGUAGACUGUGUCUCUCCCAUUUUGCAGUGAAGUUGCUCCUGAGCACAGUGAAAAGGGAAACUCCACUUAAAUAAGAGCAUUUCCUUGCUUUGACUGUAUUUGGGAAUUCCCUGAGCAGAGAUUUGCUUUGGCUGAUCUUCAUACAGCUUUGUUUUUGAUUUGAAUACAGGCUGCAACAUAUAGAGCAUAGACCUAGUUGGCUUGAAAGCAGUAUUAUGCACUUCUUCAUAGCUUGUGGGGGUAAUGUAUCCUUUACAAAGGAUAUGGGAUAGUAGCAGCAUUUACUAUUGCCUGAUAGACCAAAAGCAUUGGGCAACGCUGGUUGAUUUAAGAGCCUUGAUUGCUGUUAGCUUCUUGAUAAGCUGUAGAUGAGCCCUGAGGCUGUCAGGCAAAUCUGUAGAAGACAUGAAAAUCUUUGGACGUAGCACUUGCAAGCAUUCUGCUUGCCCAAGGUGCUGCUGAGGAGCAGAGCUGGGCAAAUUGGUGGGAAGCAAGGCAGCCUAUUGUCUGGAGUCCGUUAAAAUUCUCUGUCACUUUUUGUCAAAAUUAAACGUGUUUUACAGACUUGUAAACUUGGAUAUGUAGGCAUACUCUGGAAAAAAAUUAGGGGAACUUCAGAUCAGCUUUGUGCUUUUUUUAAAAAGCACCUAAAGUUAAUGUAUUCUGACUUUUAUGAACACUCUUCUGGGAAAAAAAAAUCUUUAGAAACUGGUACUGAAGGUUUGUAUCUCUUACCUCUGUUGAGAAUGAAAUUAUAUCUUAAUACAGACUCAUAUGAGUCUGUAUUAACUCUUCUCAUUUGCAUUACCUGUAAUAUACCACUCCAUUCUUCUCAGUCUCUAGCAGAAAAACACGUAAGAAAUGGAUAGUUGUGUUAUUAGGCUAUUGCAACAGCAAGGUAUACUUUGAGAGGUGAAGUUAUCUUCUUAUCAGAGAUGAUAACUGGCCACUGAGAAUUUUGGUUGUAUUUAUAUGUAAGAUAUCUAAAAUAUCUUAGAGUGUAAUGUCUGAAGUACUGAGUAGGACAGAUAUUCAUAUGGGAAUGAGACCUGGAGGGGGUUUCUAAAAAUAGCUGCCUCCAAGAGAGGAAACCUGCGUGAAGAAUCGGAUUUUAAUUAAACUUUUUUUUCUUUAAUGCGUUUUACUGAUAGUGUUCACUUGUAAUCAGAAGGCACAAGGAAGGGUACUUCCAGUUUUUGCCUUUUCUUGGUACUUGCCAGUGUGACUUUUUAAGAUUGUCAUGCAUGGUCUUGUUUUUGGUUUAGAAGUGGCAAUACUUCUAGAUUCUCAUUGUUCAGAAUGCAAAAGUUUUGUGUUAUUUAAUUAAUUUAUAGGAGCAAUCUAAUGUAAAAGUUUAGACACUGAAUUUAAAGCUCGAUCUUUGAUUUAUAAUGGAAAAAGUCACUUCAGUCAUCUACUGGAGCUAGUAACUAGCUGGUAGAGCUAGUAGUUUAUAAGUGUGUGGUUUUUUUUGUUUUUAAAUCAGAGAUUGGGACUUUAGCUUGAAGCUUAUUUGGAGUGUGGAUUAUUCCUGAAGUGGCAGUGCUUAUGAAAUGCACUCUGUCAGAGUUGCCUGAGAGCUUUUCCUGUAGUAAGUUUUGAGGUUGUGCUUUAUCCUGUAGCAUGAUAUACUACUGUUACAAGGCUAUAAACAAGAGGAAAAAGGAGUUUUGUAUAGAUUAAUUAUUGUAGUUUUAACACUAAUAUAUAUGCAUUUUGAUGACUUUCCUGUAACAUUCUUUACUUCCAUUUGUAUAAAUUUACAUAGAUGUACUCAUUGAAAAAUUCAGUCCCUUCUGCCAUUUUUCUUAAUGCUUUUAUUACUGUUUACAUCUCUUCUGAGUACUGGAAUAUGAUUUUUUACUUUCACAGAAUCUCACUAAACUAUUUGGUACUUAAAUCCAUUCACACUUUUUUUUUUAAUCUGAAUUCACAUUUGAAUGAAACAACCUAUAUGAGAGGACUGAAGAAAACUUUUUACCUCAAAGUGUGAAUGAUUUAAGUUCUGAUAGGUUUGGGUUUUUCCUUUCCUUCAUUUUUCUCUACUAGUCCUCUCCUGCAAUAUAAAGGCAAAUAUUUUUAGUAAAUUAAGUUCUGAUCUAUAAUCAAAAUCUGAUGUAUCUAAACCAGUAUUUCAGGUAAAUGUGAACAGUUUGUUCAGACAAUAGCAGCAACAAAAUUGCUGCUGUUCUCUUCCACUUAUUUGAUGGAAAAUAGGGUAUUUUAAGUGGGAAUCACUGAAAGGGUAGGAUCUCCUCAUGGCAUCUGAGUCCUAAUUGAACAGGAUGACUACAACAUUUGCAAAGAUAGGUAAGCCAAAGUUGCCUUAUGAAGAAACUGUAAAGCUUAAAAUAUAAAGAGCUUUACAAACUGAGUGUAAUGUGAUUCCUUGUAGUGUCACUUCUUAAAGAAUCCACAGAAGCAACCUAGAUGUUCUUCUGAUCAUCCUUGCUCCUUGUCUAAAGACCAGCUGUAUAAUUAGGCUCCAUGAACAGUCUGUUGCUGCAGAACCUGAAAUUCUAUUGUUUUCUGUUCAUGUCAUGGUUUUCUGUUUGUUUUUGUGUUGGGAAAGGUAAUUGGCAUCUGGUAUACACAUAUUAAAACAUUAACUGUGAUCUCUUUGAAAUGGUUUCUUGCUCUGAUUUCACUCAAAGUAGCAAUUUAGUCAAUUGUAGAAAAUUAUUUUGCUGAUCCAUAUAUAAUUCAGUUAGAAGUGAGUAGGCAACUUUUCUUGCCUGUUAUUUAUCUUCUGUUUUUAUCAUGUAACACUAAUCUAGCUGUAGCUUAUUUUCUGUGGUUCUGUGAUAUUUUAAACCCACGAGUAGAAUGCUAUCUAGUAUUAAUACCUGAUGCCUCUUAAACUUUCCUCAUUACUCGGUCUUGGUGUUUCCGAACAGAUAGUUGCUGUAUUAGAUACUGAGCAGUGGAUUUAAGUUGGUUAUCUAGGCUAUCUGAAGUGUCUUCUAGUGGACUUGCAUUGCUAUAAGUGUCUGUGUAUACAGAUACUGGCAUUUUUGACAUAUUAAGCAGUAUUUAGUGUUUCAAAAUGUUGACCAUUUUCUCUGAUCUUUACGAAAGAGUUAAAUCUAGCUGUCUGAGGUCCGUUGUUAUUAGUAUAUCAUGUUGUUCUCUAAUUGAUUUGUGGCUUUUAGAUAGUCUACAAUUUUGUAUAUUAUUCCAUUUUAGAGAUUCACUGCAGUCUAAUCAAGAUCACUUUCAAUGAUGGCUUCCCCCCCCCAAAUUAGUUCCAUAGAGUAAACUUUUAUUUUCUAUUUGAAGACUAUUUUAUUUAUUUUUUUUACAGUGAAAAUAAACUAGGCUUAAAGAAUGGCUUUUAAGUGUUACUUGUGUAAAUGGAUUUUUUUUUCCACAUCUUGUGAUUUUUUUUUCUUUGGUUUUUUUUUUGACUAAAUCAUUUGACUGACACCUGUAUAAAAGAUAAUAUAAACCCCUUGCUUUCUGAAUUGAAACUCUAGGUGUUAAAUUGAGGUUUUAGUCUUUCUUGAUUACUGUUUUACAUGCUUGUAAGUGUUUUGGGGAAAGGAGAUCACUUUGUCAUCUGUCCCUGAAUUUCCAUUGUGCAAACUUUAAAGAAGAAACUAAAAAUUAUUAUGUCCAGUUAAAAUUGAGAAGCUUAGUAUUUUGAGUAUUUCACUGAUUUGACUGCAAUUAAGACUGAAGAGUUAUUUUCUGCAAUGUCAUAUGAAUGAGUGUGUUAGAUCAGAAGUGGCUAGUACCUGUGAGGUUAUCCCAUUCAAUUGUUUUCCUUAACUGAUCAAAAAUAUUUUCAUCCUUCUUUUUGGUGAAGCCUUCCCAAAGUAAAGGAGUGUAAGUAAAGUAAAAGGAAUGUUUUUGGAAUGGUGAAGAAAUUCAAGCUAUUGAGGAUAUAGAUUAUGAAGAAUGUCUGUCUUAAUCUAGUGGCUGCUGAGAAAUCACUGUAUAGACUUAUUAAGUAGAAAUCUUUCUGAUAAAUUGUAACUUUGGGCAGGUAACAUUAAAAAAGGUCUGUUAGCCCCAUAUUAUGAACCUUGAAAUAUCUACGUUAUCCAUUUACUUCUGUAUACAUGUGUUGUGGAGGGGGAAUAGUAUUUUUUUUUCCUGAAUUAAGUAAUUGAGGCUUUGUUUUAGUCUCUUUCAUUUUGAAAAUUUUUAAAAGUAGAUGUAGGCCAUCUCUGCUAUGAUUUCUUUGUAGUGAUAUAUCCCAAACCCAUAGCCUAUGAGAAGUAGAUAAUGAUCAUCAGCAUCUGUUGCUGAACUAAACACUAGUGUGAAUAGGUAACAACCAAUUGCAGCAUUCAGUUUUCCUCCCUACUCUUGCAUUUAAUCAUUAUCCAUUAACUUGUAUGAAGAAAUAACAUACUUCAACUAUAUGUAUGGGCAACUUAAUUAUUGAGCAACUUCUAAGUUGGUUUAUGUUUAAAGUUGUUUACAUGUUUUUGUUCUAUGGUGUGUAAAUUAAGCCUGAUAUUUUCCACUUGUUGGUAUGAAUUGUAUGCAGUAACUGUUUGAAACCUAAAAAAAGCCUCAAACUCAAAUAAACUAAAGGAACCUAGUUUCAGUGGGGAACACUAAUAUUCUGAACAUUAAAUUUAAUCUGCUCGUGUGUGUGUGUGUGUGUGUGUGUGUGUGUGUGUGUGUGUGUGUGUUGGGGGGGGCACAUAUGCUCAACUUUUCUGGGAGUUGCAGUUGAACAGAAUGAUUUGGGAUGCAGUUGUGAGUGAAAUUCUUUUUGUUACACACACACACACACUCACUCACUCAUUCACUCACAAAUAUGUUUGCAUAUAUAUAUAUCCUAAAUUGCAUUUUAAUAAAAGAAAGCAUCUGCAUUUAGGCUAUUUUUUAACCUCCUUUAGAUCUGAAAGACUUCUUUGUAAAGUCUGAUCUCCAAGUCUGUGUGGCCCCAGAGUUGUGCUUAUUUGCCUUGGUGACUAAAAUAAGUCUGCUACUUCUGUUUACACUGCAGAAUCAACACUACUCUGGGAGAGAGAACUAAAUUUUUUCCUUUUGAGGAAGAGCAUAUUAUUUAAAUUCCACUUGUCGUGCCAGUUUGUGCCUCAGCAAACAUAGUUUAGUAUCAUGGUUUUAACAAAGGUGUCACAAAGGGUGUAAUUUUCCUAUCGAGGCCUUCAAGGUCAUGAUGAGCAGUAAGAAAAGUCCCCACUCUGCUUUUGGAAUCUUGUUUAAUUUCAUCGUAUGUAAGAUGUAGCUCUUUGUAUAUGUGUGUGGAUUUUUUCUUUUCUUUUUUUUUUUGUGUGAUGGAAUUGACUUUAUAGAAAAAUUAGUAGUGAUGUAGCAAAUUCUAGAGCAGUCUUUGUAAUGGAAAGGAUUUUUUGUUUUUUAAUGCUACAGUGGAACAAUAGCUUAAAGGUGUUAGUAGUCACUUAAACUCUUUUGUCUUUUCUUGGACUUUAUUAAGAUGAAUUAUUGGUUUGAUUAUGUUAACAGUAUUCUUUAAAGAGUUUGAUUCAGACUGUUUUUUUUUUUUUUUGGUUAUUGCAGACUUACAAUAAGCUUUAUCAACUUCAAGCAGCUUCAAGCCUUUACUACAUAAUGUAAUUCACAGCUCUGAACAUUCAAAACCAGUGGCAGAUUCGUGUAUUGUUUCAUGUUUAGACAGAUGGGAGUGAGGAAGACAAAUGAACUAUUAGUGUGUUUUUAUGCUCGAGUGAAAUGAUAAAUUCACCGUAUUAAUUCUCAAUAUUUCUUCUGAAACUAAAGUAUGCUUUUUGUUUUUCUUUUUUAAGACAUAAAGGCAAUAUAAUUCUUUCAGGAACAAAAUGCCUUUUGUCCCUUUGACAGGAUUUGUUUAGGUUUUUGAGUUUUGCUUAGAGAGAUGUCAUGUAGCUACUUGAAUUAGGGUAUCAAAAAUAUUUUUUGGACUAUGUGUCACUGGAAGUGGAGGUAGCUGGAGUUUUCUCAUGUUUACUUUUUUCCAUCUUUAUGUUGAAUGAUCAUUAUACAUAUUGCCCUAUGAAUAGAGAAAGAUAGCAAUUUCUUUAAUGAGGGAAAACUUACUAAGCUACCUGUUUAUAGCUUUUCAGUGUCCACUGCUGUAUUUUUAAACACUUCUAAAAGCCUAAUUUUCUGUGGUUUCCAAGGCAUUUGGGUGUAUAUUCACAGAUAAAAUGUGAAUGGGUGUGUAAGAAUUGUAGACUCUUUUAUCAAAAAGCUGUUCCUGAGUUUUGAACAAAAGCCUGGUGUUUUUAAUCUGAAUUGUCAAAUGUAUAGAUUUUUCUAAAUAGUCUUCGAUAGUAUAUUCAAGUACAAAACUAUCUAAUCAAAUCUUUAUGCUGUUAGUAUUUUUGGAGUUGAAACAAGACCUAUGCCCUUCAUUUCAUACAUCAGUUUGAGAUUUUUUGGCAGCUACCUAUUAAGCUUUUUCUUCUAAAUGUAACUUGUUCAUGGAAGCCCUGUUUAAUGGUCAUACAAACUAGUGUUUGUGUCUUCCUGGCUUUUUAAAAUGGGGGGGAAAAGAUCUUCCUGUUAACUACAAUUCAAUCUAGAAAAAUGCUUUCAAAAUAGAACAGCACAAAAAGUUGCAAAUCUUUGCUUACAAAGAUAACGUAUCUGCACUUCAAUUAAUAUUCUUGUCCAAUUCACUGUGUGAAUAUAAAACUGGUGAAUUGGGCACUUGUACAUAUUUUUAUCCCCUUCUUCAGCUACUGACUUGGGUAAUGAAGUGUAGAUGUGGCUGUUACAUGCCAGAUGGAAAGGAGCCAGAACAGAGAUGUUGUUUGUACAUGUGCAGAUGUUGGCAGGAUUCCUUGUACUCCUGUUGUGAAAAGAUCUUUUUAUGGCCACAGACUUAUAAAUAUAUCUGUGUUACAUUAUGGCAUGCAGAUAUUAUACUUCUGCUGAGGUUUCCUUCUAAACAAACUGAACUGUUCCUAGAAUUUCUUAUGUGAAAUGAAAUUCGGUGUACACAUACACAACAGGAAGCAUAAUACAUGUGUGUGUUUGUGUGUGUGUUUUUUUUUUUUUUUUUUUUUUUUUUUUUUUUUGUUUAAGAUCAGUAUACAGUUGUGGCUAAUGCUGUACUUGCACAAUCAGUUUAAUCCAUUUUAUAAAUCCGUGCUGUUGCUGGAAGGGAAUGGUCCCCUUAUCCCUCUCCUCUUCUCUGCACCGGCUGUGCAGGCCAUCUCCCCUCCUUUUGUCAGUACUAGCGUUAUGUGGUGAUGUGAUGAGCUGGAUCAGGAUACUGAUUCAGCUGAACCCCAGCUCAGCAAAUAAAGUGAUUUCCAGCUGUGUCACUCUCUUGAUGACAUGGAGGGGAUUGAAAUGAAUGUUUGGCAGGUUGGGAGGGAUGGCCACCUUCCCCUCAAUGGCAGCAUGGCCUUUGCCAGAUUCGAGUGGCUGUGAUUCAGCUUGUGCCUUUGCCUCUCUCCUAAAGUAUGAACAGAAGAGGACUGGGAUGUAGGAAAGGAACAGGGUGGAGUUUGUGCUCUUACGAAAGACACUAAUCAAGCCAUUGCUAGAAUAGCUUUGUUUCUCCUUUAGAAAUUGUUAGAUGUUGUCCAAAAUCAUACCUAAAAUGUGAACAUGGCUAAAGUGCAGUGAUACGAAAAUGUUAUGCUCAUUUGGUGAACUCAGUUAAACCUGUGUUCAUUGGAAAGUGAAAUCAGAUAAACUUUCUCCAAGAUAUAAAAUUGUUUUGUAAGACAGUAAUCUAGCGAUGUGAUAAACUAGACUUGGCUGAGUGUAGAACUGAUAGGCACACGUGUGUGUGUGAUCCUUGACAAAAAGCUGGGAGGCUUUUUCCUGGUAGACACUGGCAGAUAAUAUUUUGAAUUUGUGUAUGUGUUGCCUGAUCCUAGUCAUUCAGUUCUCUGAAUGUCGUCACUUAUGAUAACUCUUUCUUGCUUUUUGUGUGAAACAUCAUGUUCCUUUGUAAAUAAUUAAUUUCAGUUGACGGACAACAUCCUUCUGAUCUCUGUUCAUUUGCAUGUUGGUUUGUUUUGAUCCAAGACUGAACACAGAGAUGAUAUAAGUGCAUGAAAUCUUAUUGUGGGGGUGUUUGUUGAUGCCACAGAUGGAAACUCUUCAUUUUACUGGCCUGUUUGUACAAAAAAAGAAGUAACACUAUUAGCGCACGUUUCAUUUAUAUUUGUUGGAAAAUUACUUUGCUAACCAUGAAAAAAGCAAAUAAAAAACUUAAGUUGUUUCUGUGGAA